Molecule: ribosomal RNA, 334 nt
Filed under: uncultured Planctomycetota bacterium
Lineage: Bacteria; Pseudomonadati; Planctomycetota
Description: bacterial SSU rRNA
Rfam family: Bacterial small subunit ribosomal RNA
Source: RNAcentral
CGCGUAGGCGGUCUUGUAAGUCGGAUGUGAAAGACCUUGGCUCAACCAAGGAAUGGCAUCCGAUACUGCGAGGCUUGAGGCCGAGAGGGGCAAGCGGAACUCCUGGUGGAGCGGUGAAAUGCGUAGAUAUCAGGAGGAACACCGGUGGCGAAGGCGGCUUGCUGGAUCGGUUCUGACGCUGAGGCGCGAAAGCCAGGGGAGCAAACGGGAUUAGAUACCCCGGUAGUCCUGGCCGUAAACGAUGGGCACUGGGUAGUGGGAACUAUCUAUGGUUCUCGCUGCCGUAGCUAAUGUGUUAAGUGCCCCGCCUGGGGAGUAUGCUCGCAAGGGUAAA